Selaginella moellendorffii is the source of this 73-nucleotide transfer RNA. It matches the Rfam family "tRNA". From Rfam's summary of the family: Transfer RNA (tRNA) molecules are approximately 80 nucleotides in length. Their secondary structure includes four short double-helical elements and three loops (D, anti-codon, and T loops). The record is from Rfam. Lineage: Eukaryota; Viridiplantae; Streptophyta; Lycopodiopsida; Selaginellales; Selaginellaceae.
GGUCCUGUAGUGAAGUGGUUAACACGUUUGCUUUACACGCAAAAGAUCCUGAGUUCGAAACUCAGCGGGACCA